Molecule: long non-coding RNA, 510 nt
Organism: Stylophora pistillata
Lineage: Eukaryota; Metazoa; Cnidaria; Anthozoa; Scleractinia; Pocilloporidae
Source: RefSeq, a predicted model, not a curated record
GCAGUGAUCAGUCUCAACCUUCAAUACAAAAUCGUUUGCUUUCUCGUCAAAGAAGUCAUCUAACAAAGAAGUUGGUCUUUGAAUCAUUUCAAACAGAACUGAAAACGCUGCAAUGGACAAAAGAAAAUUUUGCUUUGUGUUUGUGAUGGUCCUUGUUAUUGCAAUGGCCGCUUCUAAUCCGCCUCCGUCUAAUCUUCAGAGACGAUUUGGGAAAAGGAAUUCUAAGGUUAUCACUGAGAGGAGAGAGUUGUGUGCAAGGGCAAGGAGUGUGUGCGGCCCUGAAAACGAUUACAUCGAUCAAACCGAUCCGGUCGACCUUGCCAGUGAAAAAAUUUGAUAACGAAAAACCACCUUGACUUUCAUCUUACCUCGUACCCAGGACACCAACGGCCAGGCAUGAGUGUGCAUGAGCUAGGGGCUAAAUUAAUUCUUGAGUUAAACUGUCGUUCCAAAUAAAAUAAGAUAUUUGGAGAUAAAAUGAAAUAUAAAUGAAAUAUAAAUGAAACAUGA